AACUGAUACUACCUGCGGGAACCUGCGGAGGGAUCAUUACCGAGUUUACAACUCCCAAACCCCUGUGAACAUACCACUUGUUGCCUCGGCGGAUCAGCCCGCUCCCGGUAAAACGGGACGGCCCGCCAGAGGACCCCUAAACUCUGUUUCUAUAUGUAACUUCUGAGUAAAACCAUAAAUAAAUCAAAACUUUUAGCAAUGGAUCUCU
This 208-nucleotide unclassified non-coding RNA is filed under the name soil metagenome. RNAcentral's name for it is "partial contains 5.8S ribosomal RNA, internal transcribed spacer 2, and large subunit ribosomal RNA". The record is from RNAcentral.